AUGUUUGUCUUUGGAUUCAUAAUUUGUUGCAGAGAAGCCGCAACCUGCAAAACCAAGGGCCUUUGUGUUUGUGUCUCUGCCAUGUCUAGAGAUCAAGGCUGGGCAGACCUGCCAGAUGUGCUGCUUCAUUCCAUCAUUGCUCUGGCAAGCUCCUUCACCGACCUCUUUGCCUUCGCUCACACCUGCUGCUCUUGGCGUGCUGCCUUCUUCUCGUAUCCAUCGAAGUCUGCCUUCUCGAUGAUCUUCCCGCCUGUGCUCCUGCAACCUGAUGCCUCCGUGCACUCUCCAUGUCAUCGCCCCCUUGGCGAUAAGCGUACAUGUCAUGUCAUUGAUCCAGCCAGCAAACACUCGCGUAUUGGCUACCAUAUUCCCCUAGUUAAUCUUUCUCGAGCAAAUAAUCACCCCCAAAAUUCUCUGGGUAGUUUUUGCUUCCUGGGUGCUUCUUAUGGCCAUCUCAUCUUCUCCAGGAACAGAUCAUGUCUCAUUGUUGAUGUGUUUACAGGUGUUAGUUUUUCACCACCACAGAUACCGGGCGACGAAUCCACCGAGGUCUACUACGGUGCCCUCACGGCUCCUGUAGAGUCACCCAACCCAUAUCUCAUUGCCACCAAUGAAUCCCACAGUUACUUUUGGCGUGUUGGCAGUCGCUCUUGGUUGAGAGCUUGUCCUUGUGAUGGAACUGUCCAGCAGAUUGUGACCUUCAAAGGCCAGGUCUUCGGCUUGGACUCUGGUGGCAUGCUCUUUGUUGUGCACUUGGCACCUUUGAUUCGCGUACGGAUGAUGGGAGUCAGUUGGGAGGAAAUCUCCACGCGUCAUCUUGCCAACCUAUAUCUGGUGGCGUGUGGUGAUAUGCUUCUCUUGGUCGGGUGUCAGGGGUCGUUUCCGGCAAGAGGGGAUACCUUCGAAGUCUUCCGCCUCGACCAGUCGACUGAACAUGCAAUGUGGGUGAAGGUGGAGGAGUUGGAGAAUUGGGCGAUCUUCAUCAGCACCGACAAGAGAAGCCAGCCAUUAUCUUUCAGGAACCCGGAAAGGUGGGGAGGGAGGAGCAACUGCGUGUACUACUAUUCCCAUGAUUCCGAACACUGGGCUGCAUUUGAGCUGGGGAAGCCUGCCUCCAGCCGAAACAGCUUUGUUUUCAUAAGCUCUGGCAAUUUAGUGCAACCUAUGUGGGUUGUCCCUAGCAUGUUCUCCCAGUCCCCGUGA
This 1203-nucleotide ribosomal RNA is filed under the name Triticum aestivum (bread wheat). RNAcentral's name for it is "partial small subunit ribosomal RNA". Lineage: Eukaryota; Viridiplantae; Streptophyta; Magnoliopsida; Poales; Poaceae. The record is from RNAcentral.